AUUGAACGCUGGCGGCAGGCCUAACACAUGCAAGUCGAAUGGUAACAGGAAACAGCUUGCUGUUUCGCUGACGAGUGGCGGACGGGUGAGUAAUGUCUGGGAAACUGCCUGAUGGAGGGGGAUAACUACUGGAAACGGUAGCUAAUACCGCAUAACGUCGCAAGACCAAAGAGGGGGACCUUCGGGCCUCUUGCCAUCAGAUGUGCCCAGAUGGGAUUAGCUAGUAGGUGGGGUAACGGCUCACCUAGGCGACGAUCCCUAGCUGGUCUGAGAGGAUGACCAGCCACACUGGAACUGGGACACGGUCCAGACUCCUACGGGAGGCAGCAGUGGGGAAUAUUGCACAAUGGGCGCAAGCCUGAUGCAGCCAUGCCGCGUGUAUGAAGAAGGCCUUCGGGUUGUAAAGUACUUUCAGCGGGGAGGAAGGGAGUAAAGUUAAUACCUUUGCUCAUGGACGUUACCCGCAGAAGAAGCACCGGCUAACUCCGU
Molecule: ribosomal RNA, 489 nt
Filed under: uncultured bacterium
Lineage: Bacteria
Description: partial 16S ribosomal RNA
Rfam family: Bacterial small subunit ribosomal RNA
Source: RNAcentral